Molecule: long non-coding RNA, 235 nt
Filed under: Carica papaya (papaya)
Lineage: Eukaryota; Viridiplantae; Streptophyta; Magnoliopsida; Brassicales; Caricaceae
Description: long non-coding RNA (CPAP_LNC000579)
Source: RNAcentral
GAAAAGAUACUUUGAAAAAAUAACAAAAAAAUGUCCAUUGUAGGGCUUGAACUAAAAUGAAUCAUUAAUGUGACUGCAUAUGAUAUUAUGUAAAAUGAUCUUGGAAAAAUUGUUAAAGAAUUAUUUUAUGGAGUAUAUGUUAAUCCCAUGAGUUUCCUAACAUUGGUACCAGAACAUUUUGGUUAAUUACAUGUUUAAUUUUGUUCUAAUUUACAUUUUUAUUAAAUUUUUUACU